AUUGGAUUGUUGGAGUGGUUAUGCUUCUUAUUUGAUUUGUAUCUUAAAACCUAAAGGUUUAGUAAUUAUUCCCAAGGAAGAAGACGACAGUGGCCUACUCCCAUGUUAUCCCAACUAUUCUAGCACUUCCCUUU
Long non-coding RNA from Andrographis paniculata, 134 nucleotides. RefSeq lists it as uncharacterized. The transcript is spliced from 2 exons. The record is from RefSeq and is a predicted model, not a curated record. NCBI's taxonomy places the organism in Eukaryota, Viridiplantae, Streptophyta, Magnoliopsida, Lamiales, Acanthaceae.